CCUUCGAUAGCUCAGCUGGUAGAGCGGAGGACUGUAGUGGUUGUUACGCGUGGUGAUCCUUAGGUCGCUGGUUCGAUUCCGGCUCGAAGGA
Molecule: transfer RNA, 91 nt
Filed under: Loxodonta africana (African savanna elephant)
Lineage: Eukaryota; Metazoa; Chordata; Mammalia; Proboscidea; Elephantidae
Rfam family: tRNA
About the family: Transfer RNA (tRNA) molecules are approximately 80 nucleotides in length. Their secondary structure includes four short double-helical elements and three loops (D, anti-codon, and T loops).
Source: Rfam by way of RNAcentral